RNAcentral lists this ribosomal RNA (425 nucleotides) under uncultured bacterium. RNAcentral's name for it is "partial 16S ribosomal RNA". It matches the Rfam family "Bacterial small subunit ribosomal RNA", at positions 354 to 796 of the family's 1533-position model. The record is from RNAcentral.
GUGGGGAAUCUUGCGCAAUGGGCGAAAGCCUGACGCAGCCAUGCCGCGUGAAUGAUGAAGGUCUUAGGAUUGUAAAAUUCUUUCACCGGGGACGAUAAUGACGGUACCCGGAGAAGAAGCCCCGGCUAACUUCGUGCCAGCAGCCGCGGUAAUACGAAGGGGACUAGCGUUGCUCGGAAUUACUGGGCGUAAAGGGCGCGUAGGCGGAUCGUUAAGUCAGAGGUGAAAUCCCAGAGCUCAACUCUGGAACUGCCCUUGAUACUGGCGAUCUUGAGUGUGAGAGAGGUAUGGGGAACUCCGAGUGUAGAGGUGAAAUUCGUAGAUAUUCGGAAGAACACCAGUGGCGAAGGCGACAUACUGGCUCAUUACUGACGCUGAGGCGCGAAAGCGUGGGGAGCAAACAGGAUUAGAAACCCGAGUAGUCC